GACGAACGCUGGCGGCGUGCUUAACACAUGCAAGUCGAACGGAAAGGCCCUGCUUUUGUGGGGUGCUCGAUUGGCGAACGGGUGAGUAACACGUGAGUAACCUGCCCUUGACUUUGGGAUAACUUCAGGAAACUGGGGCUAAUACCGGAUAGGAGCUCCUGCUGCAUGGUGGGGGUUGGAAAGUUUCGGCGUUUGUGGCUGGACUCGCGGCUUAUCAGCUUGUUGGUGGGGUAGUUGCUUACCAAGGCUUUGACGGGUAGCCGGCCUGAGAGGGUGACCGGCCACAUUGGGCCUGAGAUACGGCCCAGAAUCGUACCGGCGGCAGCAGUGGGGAAUAUUGCACAAUGGGCGGAAGCCUGAUGCAGCAACGCCGCGUGCGGGAUGACGGCCUUCGGGUUGUAAACCGCUUUCGCCUGUGACGAAGAGUGAGUGACGGUAAUGGGUAAAGAAGCACCGGCUAACUACGUG
Molecule: ribosomal RNA, 468 nt
Filed under: uncultured bacterium
Lineage: Bacteria
Description: partial 16S ribosomal RNA
Rfam family: Bacterial small subunit ribosomal RNA
Source: RNAcentral